CCACACAAAAGCUCCUUGAUCCGUCGCUCGGCAGUUUAUUCAUUUUUGUUAAAUUUAUUUAUUAUAAAGAAGCACAACUUUGGAGCACUUCAAACCAAAUUACACUUAUGCAUGCAUGCACCAUACACUAAUAUUAUUCUGCUACUACGUCGCUCAUACUAAAGACUUUCAUUUAUGCUUUUUAGAUUUAUGCAGAUUCGAAGAUAUGAAUAUUGCAUUUAUUAAAGGCGAACUCUAUAAAAUUCGUGUAGUAUACGACUCUUUCUGGUUUUUAUUUUAGUCUUGAUGGCGGUCAAAUGGACUAAUUGAUUACAUAAAAUCAUGAACACAAGGUCUAUCAGAAGAUAGAGAGGAUUUUCAAAAGGGGAAAUUCAGAGGCUUGAAUUUUUCUAAAUUCUUCAACUUUUUUUUAGAGUUUGUUUGUGAUGAUUAAUGUGCCACCACAUAAAUCUUGUAAAUAUUAAUAAGCUAUGGCAAUAAACGUAAUGUUGAAACAAAAAUGCUUAAUCUUAAGUUGAAUGAUUCAUCUAAAUUUGAAUCUGCUGUGAAGUAAAUUAAGUAUUCAAUCAUAAAAUAUCAAAUCUGAAGACAUGAAUUUUUUAAUGGAGUUUUGAUCCAUAAUAAUCCAAUUCACAAAGUUAUAAAAAGACCAUUAACUCAAGUCUUUGUAACUGUGGUUCGUUGUUAAUGGAUUGAACCUUUUUGUCAAGUAAAAAAUUAAAAAGGAUGCAAGCACUAAAGAAGAAAAUAACGUUACAAAUUGAAGCAGAAUUUUAUAACAAAUCAUGACAGCGAUUGGAUAUGAAUUCCAGAUAAGCGUCAUUGUCGCAUGGUUGUGAUCAAAUCAUUGUACAAUAGCUGUUCUUAUGCCGCGUAAUUAUAUUUUGAAAUUCAAGCCUGUUUUUCAAUUUAUUCAUAAAACUUGAAAAUAUCAAUUAUCAUGUGUCUAAUACUUUUUAUUAUCCUUAAACUAAUGAAAAAUACGCCAAUUUUUA
Molecule: long non-coding RNA, 995 nt
Organism: Hydra vulgaris (swiftwater hydra)
Lineage: Eukaryota; Metazoa; Cnidaria; Hydrozoa; Anthoathecata; Hydridae
Source: RefSeq, a predicted model, not a curated record